This 249-nucleotide long non-coding RNA is filed under the name Columba livia (rock pigeon). RNAcentral's name for it is "partial uncharacterized LOC106145816". The record is from RNAcentral. Lineage: Eukaryota; Metazoa; Chordata; Aves; Columbiformes; Columbidae.
GACGAUUCACAAAGUAAGGAACUUGUGAACCGGGAGACUGAAAGUUACAAAACAUUCAAUACAAGAUUCUGUGAACUUAGAUGCAGAUGCCCUAGAGGAAGCAGAGAUCAAUUUAAAUUUGGGAAUUACAAAGAGUCUGCUCAGUCUUUUGCCCUAUGUAGAAAUAAAAGUUCUGCUUCAACCUCUUACUCACAGAAGAGAACCUCCACUCAAAAGGCUCAAAAAAAUAAACAGCCACGUGAACUUAUA